This 460-nucleotide ribosomal RNA is filed under the name uncultured bacterium. Its description in RNAcentral is "partial 16S ribosomal RNA". It matches the Rfam family "Bacterial small subunit ribosomal RNA", at positions 338 to 795 of the family's 1533-position model. The record is from RNAcentral.
CCUACGGGAGGCUGCAGUGAGGAAUAUUGGUCAAUGGACGCAAGUCUGAACCAGCCAAGCCGCGUGCAGGAAGACGGCUCUAUGAGUUGUAAACUGCUUUUGUACGGGGGUAAACGCAGAUACGUGUACCUGUCUGAAUGUAUCGUACGAAUAAGGAUCGGCUAACUCCGUGCCAGCAGCCGCGGUAAUACGGAGGAUUCAAGCGUUAUCCGGAUUUAUUGGGUUUAAAGGGUGCGUAGGCGGUCGGUUAAGUUAGAGGUGAAAUCCCGGGGCUCAACUUCGGAAUUGCCUUUGAUACUGGUCGGCUAGAGUGUAGUUGAGGUAGGCGGAAUGUAUGGUGUAGCGGUGAAAUGCUUAGAGAUCAUACAGAACUCCGAUUGCGAAGGCAGCUUACCGGGCUACUUCUGACGUUGAGGCACGAAAGCGUGGGUAGCGAACAGGAUUAGAUACCCCAGUAGUC